Molecule: long non-coding RNA, 678 nt
Filed under: Homo sapiens (human)
Lineage: Eukaryota; Metazoa; Chordata; Mammalia; Primates; Hominidae
Description: uncharacterized LOC101927572, transcript variant 2 (LOC101927572)
Source: RNAcentral
AGCCGUGACAGCCGCGGGAAGACAUGAGAGGCUGCUAGAAGGACUUCCCGCGGCCAGCGCCAUCACCUGCCCACGCCGCAGGGAGCCCUGACCAGAGCUCCAGACCUCUGGGUCCAACUGCCUUAUGGAUCCCUCUCCCUGAAUGUCACAUAGGAGAGGGGACAGGGGUUGGCCACACACCUGGAAAUGGAGUUCUCUGAUGCAAUGUCCUUUGGGGUCCGGACUGUGGUGAAGGUUCGUCCAGCUCCACGCCCACCCACUGGCCGCUGGCAAACUCCGUGGUCCCACAGAACCGCAGUGUGCCCGUCUGGGGAGAGAAGGGAGGCGAUGGCUAAGGAAGGAAUGCUGGGAGGCCAACGUGGAGUGCCCACACACGGGCAGCAAGGGUCCCUCAAAGGAUCCGUGACACAUGGACUGCUGGCUUUCCUGGAGAGCCCAUCUGAAAGGCAUUCACCAAAUCCACCCAACGAAUCUUUACUAAGAACCUACUAUGUGCCAGGCAAUAUUCUAGAGGUUGGAGACACAAACAGGAGGAAAGAAGAAAGACAAAGAAAGACAAAACCUCUGGCUUGAUUGAACUGAUAUUCUAGUGGGGGAGAUAAUGAAUGAAUACAUCGAAAACGCAAUAUGCAGACAGUGAUGUGUUAAAGAGAAAAAUAAAGCAGGAGACAGAGAGAA